AUUGAACGCUGGCGGCAGGCCUAACACAUGCAAGUCGAGCGGAAACGAGAAUAGCUUGCUAUUCGGCGUCGAGCGGCGGACGGGUGAGUAAUGCCUGGGAAAUUGCCCUGAUGUGGGGGAUAACCAUUGGAAACGAUGGCUAAUACCGCAUAACGCCUUCGGGCCAAAGAGGGGGACCUUCGGGCCUCUCGCGUCAGGAUAUGCCCAGGUGGGAUUAGCUAGUUGGUGAGGUAAAGGCUCACCAAGGCGACGAUCCCUAGCUGGUCUGAGAGGAUGAUCAGCCACACUGGAACUGAGACACGGUCCAGACUCCUACGGGAGGCAGCAGUGGGGAAUAUUGCACAAUGGGCGCAAGCCUGAUGCAGCCAUGCCGCGUGUAUGAAGAAGGCCUUCGGGUUGUAAAGUACUUUCAGCAGUGAGGAAGGGUGUGAAGUUAAUAGCUUCAUAUCUUGACGUUAGCUGCAGAAGAAGC
This 472-nucleotide ribosomal RNA is filed under the name uncultured bacterium. RNAcentral's name for it is "bacterial SSU rRNA". It matches the Rfam family "Bacterial small subunit ribosomal RNA", at positions 30 to 491 of the family's 1533-position model. The record is from RNAcentral.